CAGUCGCCGCGGGAAUACGGAGGGUGCAAGCGUUAAUCGGAAUUACUGGGCGUAAAGCGCACGCAGGCGGUCUGACAAGUCAGAUGUGAAAUCCCCGGGCUUAACCUGGGAACUGCAUUUGAAACUGUCAGGCUGGAGUCUUGUAGAGGGGGGUAGAAUUCCAGGUGUAGCGGUGAAAUGCGUAGAGAUCUGGAGGAAUACCGGUGGCGAAGGCGGCCCCCUGGACAAAGACUGACGCUCAGGUGCGAAAGCGUGGGGAGCAAACAGGAUUAGAUACCCCGGUAGUCCCUGUCUCUUAUAA
This 301-nucleotide ribosomal RNA is filed under the name uncultured bacterium. Its description in RNAcentral is "partial 16S ribosomal RNA". It matches the Rfam family "Bacterial small subunit ribosomal RNA", at positions 509 to 809 of the family's 1533-position model. The record is from RNAcentral.